AUUGAACGCUGGCGGCAGGCUUAACACAUGCAAGUCGAGCGAGCGGCGGACGGGUGAGUAAUGUCUGGGAAACUGCCUGAUGGAGGGGGAUAACUACUGGAAACGGUAGCUAAUACCGCAUACCAUCAGAUGUGCCCAGAUGGGCUUAGCUAGUAGGUGGGUUAAUGGCUCACCUAGGCGACGAUCCCUAGCUUGUCUGAGAGGAUGACCAGCCACACUGGAACUGAGCCACGGUCCAGCCUCCUACGGGAGGAAGCAGUGGGGAAUGUUGCAAAAUGGGCGCAAGCCUGAUGCAUCCAUGCCGCGUGUGUGAAGAAGGCCUUCGGGUUGUAAAGCACUUUCAGCGGGGAGGCGGAAAGCGGAGAAGAAGCACCGGCUAACUACGUGCCAGCAGCCGCGGUAAUAG
Molecule: ribosomal RNA, 406 nt
Filed under: uncultured bacterium
Lineage: Bacteria
Description: partial 16S ribosomal RNA
Rfam family: Bacterial small subunit ribosomal RNA
Source: RNAcentral